This 442-nucleotide ribosomal RNA is filed under the name uncultured bacterium. RNAcentral describes it as "partial 16S ribosomal RNA". It matches the Rfam family "Bacterial small subunit ribosomal RNA", at positions 338 to 795 of the family's 1533-position model. The record is from RNAcentral.
CCUACGGGAGGCAGCAGUGGGGAAUAUUGGGCAAUGGGCGCAAGCCUGACCCAGCAACGCCGCGUGAAGGAAGAAGGCUUUCGGGUUGUAAACUUCUUUUCUCAGGGACGAAGCAAGUGACGGUACCUGAGGAAUAAGCCACGGCUAACUACGUGCCAGCAGCCGCGGUAAUACGUAGGUGGCAAGCGUUAUCCGGAUUUACUGGGUGUAAAGGGAGCGUAGGCGGGAAAGCAAGUUGAAUGUUUAAGGUACGGGCUCAACCUGUACAAGCGUUCAAAACUGUUUUUCUUGAGUGGAGUAGAGGUAAGCGGAAUUCCUAGUGUAGCGGUGAAAUGCGUAAAUAUUAGGAGGAACACCAGUGGCGAAGGCGGCUUACUGGGCUUUAACUGACGCUGAGGCUCGAAAGCGUGGGUAGCAAACAGGAUUAGAUACCCCGGUAGUC